UGCACAUAUGGCAGAGCAAAAAUUCAAAUUAAUGAUCAAGGACGGGAGUUUGUGAAUGAAGUUAGCACUAAUUAUCACAAACUCGUGGGGACCAUGCAGAGGGUGACAAGUGCUUAUCACCCUCAAGCAAAUGGCAUGGUUGAAAGGGUUAAUAGAACAAUCCAGAAUGCACUUCUAAAGUGUAUUGAAGAUGAUCAAUUAGUUUGGAGAGAUGCCUUGCCUGGCAUAUUAUUUGCCUAUAACAUAUCUUGUCAUGACUCAUAGAAAUUUACGCCCUUUGAGCUGAUGUAUGGUAGAACAGCAAUACAAGCUUAUGGGGAAAAUGAUAUACUGACAAUGUUGAUGAGAUAGAUAGGGAAAACUAUUUUCAAAGUAUUGUUUGCAAGAUGCAGGACAUACAUAAUAUUGCCAUGGGCAAUAUUAAUCUUGCCCAGCUCAAGCAGCAUAGGGAUUAUAGAACCUGCCAUACUGGGAAAAAUGCUCCCUAUAAAAUAAAUGAUAAGGUGCUUAUCUGGAACAGCCGUCGAGCUGAUAGGAGACACGGCCUUGGCUGGGUCCUUUUACAAUAGUUGGGAUUGACAAAAGCAAUGUAGAGCUAAUAAAUGCUAGUGGGAAACAGGUAAAAACCCGACCAAAUAUUUGUAACAUAAAACAUUAUGUUACAAGAAAAGUUAUAGUUUUAAAAAGAUUAAUUUUAU
Molecule: long non-coding RNA, 698 nt
Organism: Gordionus sp. m RMFG-2023
Lineage: Eukaryota; Metazoa; Nematomorpha; Gordioida; Chordodea; Parachordodidae
Exons: 4
Source: RefSeq, a predicted model, not a curated record